This is a long non-coding RNA of Hyaena hyaena (striped hyena), 1181 nucleotides long. RefSeq lists it as uncharacterized. The transcript has 2 exons. The record is from RefSeq and is a predicted model, not a curated record. Lineage: Eukaryota; Metazoa; Chordata; Mammalia; Carnivora; Hyaenidae.
GAGCUGAUCACAGGGGUCAUUUUUCCCCUAGGCUGAGUCAAGCCGUGGCCAGGCUUAGCUCUAGCACGUGGCUAACUUUGAACUAGGUGCAUGGAGGCAGUCUCAUCUCCACGCCUCACACCUCCACCCAGCCAUGGACUUCUGAGAAGGGCUGAGACUUUGCUUGCAAGAGUACCGUGGCCUAGAAAUGUCAUCUGGGGGGGGUCCCUCUUCCAGAAACACUAAUGCAGAGCAGGCCUGGUGGGGCUGGAAAGAAGAAACCUGGUUUUGAAUUUGCUGGGUGACUUCUGACAAGUUGCAGUGCCCCUCUGGACCCGUUUCCCUAAAUGAUGAAGGAGGGGAUUGAACCAUUUGGCCUCGAAGUUAUCUCCCGAGCCUCCCUUCCCUUGUGAUUCUAUGAUUUCUCUCUACUUUGCUGGACAAGGGAGAUGAGGUCGCUGGAGGGACAGGAAUCUGAGGUCUCCUGAGGCCCAAGGAAGCUGAUAGCACGGUGGAGCUGAAGAGGCCCCAUCAGGAUUCAGAAGGGCUUUGAUUCGAAAGUCUCCCUUCCUUCUAGAAGGUGCUGGGUGAGCCACUGGACCUCGGAGAGCCUGUCUCCUGUGAAAAUUAGACGGGUCAACGAAUAGACCCAAUGCAGUACCUGGUGCACAGGAGGGAGCCGGUUGGAAGUUAUCGAAUAACGGAAUGAGUUAAUGAAUAGACACAUGCAUAACUCUCAUAAGCGGCAGGGGAGGGGGCACCCGCCGCCUGACCUGGGCCUCAGCCUCCAAGCGCAGGGUGCUCCGACCAUUCCCACCACCUCCAGCUGCCCACAGGCUGGCCUCCUUAGCAGGCGGGAGGGCGUGGACUCCCAGGGAGGUACCAGGCUCUGCUUCCUGAGGCCCCCGGCAGAUUGACCGCUCAGGGCACCUGAGACCUAGAGGGGCAUCAGCACUGUCACUGGAGCACCCCGGGGACCUGCAGGAGGUGCGGGGAUGGAAGGGCUCGGGCCGGGGAACCAGCCGGAGAGCCUGGGCAGAGGGAGACAGAAAAGCAGUGGCCGGCUUCCCCUCUCCCAGAGUCCUUUUCUCCAAAUACAGCUCUCUCCUUCUCUACCCCAGGAUUAGCACACAUCUCUCAUUCUCCUAUCGCAACAAGAUUUUAUUUCUAAUUAUGCUGUAAUAAAACUGGAGCACUCCCAG